Molecule: long non-coding RNA, 631 nt
Organism: Nothoprocta perdicaria
Lineage: Eukaryota; Metazoa; Chordata; Aves; Tinamiformes; Tinamidae
Exons: 4
Source: RefSeq, a predicted model, not a curated record
AGCUCUGCUUUCAUUAAAAGAAGAAAAACAAAUGCCCAGUGUUGGAGGUUUGAACGUAACGUGUUGCCAGCAGUGGGCUGAGCAGUGAUUGAUGGCAGCAGGGCAGUCCUUGAUGGAUAUUAUCUGCCAGCAUUGCAGAAGAACUUCCUGCAGUCUGGACUUCUGUUUCAGGGAGGUCCAGGAUUUGGAAGCUCUCCAGCAGCAAUAGCCAGGGACGAGAGAACCAAGUGUUACCGACAGCGUUGCAUGCACAGUGCACACGGAAACGUUGUGCUUGGAAAUCCAGGCCUCCGAGAGCCCCGACCCGUUCCCGGGGCUGGAGGGCUCCUGGCAGCCCGUAGCCUGCAGAGGGCAGCCGCGUCCUUGGCAAAACGGGAGCGUUUUGCUCGAGCAGGGCAAAGAGAAGGGCAAGGACUGCAGGGGUUGGUAUCAGCAGACCACUGGAAAGCCAAAGCACAAAACUUCAUGCAUUGCACCAAAAGAUGCAGGUCCCAUUCUUUGUUCUGAAAUAAAUUUUCCCUGUGACCUUGGGCAACAUACUUGGCACUCUAAGAGUAUUUAGGCAUCUGAAAAGAGCAACAGGGGAUUUGAAAAUACCUGUUUGUUGGUAAAAUACUUUAAUCUGUUUAGG